RNAcentral lists this small nuclear RNA (112 nucleotides) under Chrysolophus pictus (golden pheasant). RNAcentral's name for it is "U5 spliceosomal RNA (ENSCPIG00010004529.1)". It matches the Rfam family "U5 spliceosomal RNA". From Rfam's summary of the family: U5 RNA is a component of both types of known spliceosome. The precise function of this molecule is unknown, though it is known that the 5' loop is required for splice site selection and p220 binding, and that both the 3' stem-loop and the Sm site are important for Sm protein binding and cap methylation. The record is from RNAcentral. Lineage: Eukaryota; Metazoa; Chordata; Aves; Galliformes; Phasianidae.
AUACUCUGGAUCCUCUUCAGAUCAUACAUCUUUUGCCCCCUACUAAAGAUUUCCAUGGAGAGGAACAAGCAUGAGUGUCUUGGAAUUUUCUGUGGCUUCUCGUUGGUGGAGA